This 415-nucleotide ribosomal RNA is filed under the name uncultured Gammaproteobacteria bacterium. Its description in RNAcentral is "bacterial SSU rRNA". It matches the Rfam family "Bacterial small subunit ribosomal RNA", at positions 64 to 471 of the family's 1533-position model. Lineage: Bacteria; Pseudomonadati; Pseudomonadota; Gammaproteobacteria. The record is from RNAcentral.
GAACGGCAGCACAGUAAGAGCUUGCUCUUAUGGGUGGCGAGUGGCGGACGGGUGAGGAAUACAUCGGAAUCUACCUUUUCGUGGGGGAUAACGUAGGGAAACUUACGCUAAUACCGCAUACGACCUUCGGGUGAAAGCAGGGGACCUUCGGGCCUUGCGCGGAUAGAUGAGCCGAUGUCGGAUUAGCUAGUUGGCGGGGUAAAGGCCCACCAAGGCGACGAUCCGUAGCUGGUCUGAGAGGAUGAUCAGCCACACUGGAACUGAGACACGGUCCAGACUCCUACGGGAGGCAGCAGUGGGGAAUAUUGGACAAUGGGCGCAAGCCUGAUCCAGCCAUACCGCGUGGGUGAAGAAGGCCUUCGGGUUGUAAAGCCCUUUUGUUGGGAAAGAAAAGCAGUCGAUUAAUACUCGGUUG